RNAcentral lists this non-coding RNA (184 nucleotides) under Desulfocapsa sulfexigens. The record is from RNAcentral. Lineage: Bacteria; Pseudomonadati; Thermodesulfobacteriota; Desulfobulbia; Desulfobulbales; Desulfocapsaceae. RNAcentral also lists the same sequence under 1 other name.
ACUCCGGCCUAAUUUUCAGGUUCCAUGCAAAUGGAGAAUAAGGGAACCCGGUGUAAAUCCGGGACGGGCCCGCCGCUGUAAUCGGGGACAGUAGCUGCAUAGUGUCACUGGUCGUAAGACCGGGAAGACGCAGCUAUAUGGUUGAUCCGAAAGUCAGAAGACCUGCCUGAAGACAACGGUACAA